CAGAGGGGGCAAGCGUUGUUCGGAAUUACUGGGCGUAAAGGGCGCGUAGGCGGCCUCUUAAGUCGAACGUGAAAUCCCCGGGCUCAACCCGGGAACUGCGUCCGAUACUGGGAGGCUUGAAUCCGGGAGAGGGAUGUGGAAUUCCAGGUGUAGCGGUGAAAUGCGUAGAUAUCUGGAGGAACACCGGUGGCGAAGGCGGCAUCCUGGACCGGUAUUGACGCUGAGGCGCGAAAGCCAGGGGAGCAAACGGGAUUAGAUACCCCGGUAGUCCUGGCCCUAAACGAUGAAUGCUUGGUGUGGCGGGUAUCGAUCCCUGCCGUGCCGAAGCUAACGCAUUAAGCAUUCCGCCUGGGGAGUACGGUCGCAAGGCUG
RNAcentral lists this ribosomal RNA (372 nucleotides) under uncultured organism. RNAcentral's name for it is "bacterial SSU rRNA". It matches the Rfam family "Bacterial small subunit ribosomal RNA", at positions 526 to 896 of the family's 1533-position model. The record is from RNAcentral.